CCCUUAGAUGUCCUGGGCCGCACGCGCGCUACACUGAGUGUCUGAGAUACGAGUCUGCCUGGUCCGGCAAGGUCUAGGUAAUCGCUAAAAGACACAUCAUGCUUGGGAUAGAUUAUUGCAAAUAUUAAUCUUGAACGAGGAAUUCCUAGUAAGCGCAAGUCAACAGCUUGCGUUGAUUACGCCCCUGCCCUUUGUACACACCGCCCGUCGCUACUACUGAUUGGAUGUUUAAGCGAGGUUCUCGAACUGCUAGCGACUUAGCUUCGGUGAGGUCGCAGUGUGGGAAGUGAACCGAGCUUUGGUGUCUAGAGGAAGUAAAAGUCGUAACA
Molecule: ribosomal RNA, 329 nt
Filed under: uncultured eukaryote
Lineage: Eukaryota
Description: partial 18S ribosomal RNA
Rfam family: Eukaryotic small subunit ribosomal RNA
Source: RNAcentral